RNAcentral lists this long non-coding RNA (36142 nucleotides) under Lathyrus oleraceus (garden pea). RNAcentral describes it as "Pisum sativum (pea) long non-coding RNA (PSAT_LNC004197)". Lineage: Eukaryota; Viridiplantae; Streptophyta; Magnoliopsida; Fabales; Fabaceae. The record is from RNAcentral.
UUUUCAACCCAACUUUAGUGUGACAAUGUAUCAAUUUUAGAGUGCUUUUCAGUUUUAGAUGAAAAUGAACAUUUUAGGAAAGGUUGAACUCUUUAAGAAAACAGAAUGGAAAAAAUAGAAAGAUACACACAUUGUAGAAGAAAAACAGAGUUUAGUUUGCUAUUGCAUUUUGCUGUCCAAAAUGAUGAUGAGGAGCUAAACCCCAUUUUGUCAAGAUUGGAGGUAGUAGCUAUUCCUAUUUGCUUAUGUAUUCCAUUUGACUCUUGUAUAUGACAAAAGGUUAUUGAUGUAUUAAGUGAUAUUUUUGCCCUAUUUUAAAUAUUUACUUUGAGUAGUUGUUGAGAAAGAUUAUUCAAGUCUUGACUUAAAAUAUACUUUCAAGUAGUGAAUGAGUUGUAGAAAUAGAUUUAUACACUACUCUUCUUUUUGUAUCAAACAUUAAAGAUUGUUAUAUUGAUAGUUAGGUAGAGAAAUCAUUUAACCAUUAAUAUAGUGAUUAUCACAAUAUCAUUUAGAGAUAAAUGAUAUUGAGAGGAUACUUGAAUAUCAUCAAUAAUUUUAAAUCUAUAUAGUUGUCAUAAGGAAACAUAAGAAAUUUGAAUAGUGAACUUCAAUCUUGCCAAACCUUUUACAUUUGAUUAAAACUAUUUUAUUGUUUUAGUGACAUUUUACUCAAAAGAUAACUUUUCAAACAAAACAACUUGGUUACAUUUUAAACUUAUAACAAUUUAGAUUAUAGAACGGCGGUAAUAACAACCAAUCUCUGUGGAUACGAUAUUAAAAUAUUUGCCGAAAAUAUACUUUUCAACAAAUUGGCGCUGUUGCCGAGGAGUUCUUGAAUUAAAUACCAAUGAUGCUAUUCUUGCUCAAAACAAGCUACCUUCUCAACAAGUGGAGUUGCUCACUCAACAAAUGUCAAAACUCCCACAACAAAUGAAGGACAUACAGGGAUCUCAAUCUAGACAUCAAGUAGCAUGCUGCGAACUAUGUCAAGGAGAUCAUCCAACCGGUUAUUGUCCUUCAUUGGAAGAAGUGAGUUAUGUGAAUAACCAAAACCAAGGUUAUCAAAGACAACCCCCACCCCACAAUAACUCAUAUCCAAGGAACAAUCAAGGUUAUCAACCAUCAAGGUUCAACGACCAAAAUUUUCAGCAACAAAGUCCUUAUCAACACCCAAAUUCUCAAGGACAACAAUCGCAAGGAGGAAAUUCAAAGCUAGAAGACACUCUCCAACAAUUCAUGCAAGCCUCCAUGGCAAACCAAAAGAGUAAUGAGGCAGCUAUUAAAAAUUUGGAGAAUCAAGUAGGCCAACUUGCGAAGCAAUUGUCGGAAUAACACGUAAGUUCUUCAUUCUCCGCUAACACUUAAACCAAUCCAAAGGAGCAUUGUAAAGUAAUUGUUACGAGAAGCGGUAAAGAGUUGACAAGUGGAAAAAGUGAGGAGAUUAUAGUAGAGAAUGAUAUGGAUGUUGUACAUGAAAAUGAGGAUGUGGACUGUGAAAAGGAGAAAGUGGCCGAAACUGUUCAGUUCGCGCCGCGAAAAGAGCAGAAACAGCAAGAGUCAGCAGAGCAGCAGGGUGAAGUGGAAAUGAAGAAAGAAGUCGAGCCAAGAAAGAAGAAGAAAGGAGACAAAGGCGUGAGUGCCAUUCCAGCUUAACAUCUACCUUAUCCGCACGCACCAUCAAAGAAGGAUAAUGCUAGACACUAUGCACGGUUUAUGGACAUAUUCAAACAACUUCAAAUAAAUAUUUCAUUUGUCGGCGCAUUAGAGCAAAUGCCACGGUAUGCAAAGUUCAUGAAGGAUAUUCUCACAAAGAAAAGGAGAUAUGUGGAAGACAAGACAAUCUUGCUGGAUGCACGUUGUAGCGCCAUAAUCCAAAAAACUCUCCCAAGAAAGGAAUCUGAUCCGGGCCGAGUUGUUUUACCGAUAACCAUUGGAGGCACUUACAUUGGUAAUGGUUUGAUCGACUUGGGAUCUAGCAUCAAUUUAAUCCCCUUAUCCAUUGUGAAAAGAUUGGGGAAUGUUGAGAUUAAAUCUACAAGGAUGACUUUACAACUAGCCGAUAAGUCUACCACUUCACCAUAUGGGGUUGCUCAAGAUAUGCUAGUGAAGGUGGACAAAUUCUUGUUUCCAGUAGAUUUUUUGAUAGUGGACAUGGAUGAGGAUCGUGAUGUUCCUCUAAUUCUUGGAAGAUCAUUCAUGAAAACAGCCCGAAUGAUGAUUGACAUUGAUGAUGGACUCAUGAAAGUAAGAGUGCAAGAUGAAGAGGUGACUUUCAAUCUUUUUGAAGCCAUGAAGCAUCCUAAUGACAAGCAUGAUUCUUUCCGAAUCGAUGCCACCGAGGAGGAAAUAGUGGAAGUUGCAAACCAAGUUCAUGUUUCUAAUCCGUUAGAAAGAUCUCUUAUUGGAGCUUACAAUGUUUUGACCGAAAAUGAAGAAAAAGAGAUUGAAGCAAUUUUGCAUGAAUUGGAGUCGUGUGGAGAGAUUGCUUAUCAUGAAGAGACAAAUGAAGACCUGGAUGUGAAGAAGAAAGUGGAAGAGCCAAAACUAGAGUUGAAAAUGCUACCUUCACACUUGAAGUAUGUGUUCCUAGGUGAUGAUUGUACUAAACCGGUGAUCAUUAGCAAUACCUUGUCCACAAAAGAGGAGCAUAAAUUGAUACAAGUGCUAAAAAAGAAUGAAGGUGCAAUAGGGUGGGUAUUAUCUGUAACACCCCGAUAAUAAUAAAAUAAUUAUUUAAAGUGAGUUAAUAAUAUAUUUAUUAAUUUAAUUAAAUAAUUGGAAAUUUUAUUAUUAUUAUUAUUGGAUUAUUAUUAUUAUUGGAAAAUAUAUAAGUUGGAAUAAGGAAAAAGGGUUUCAGUAUUGGUAAAGAGUUUUCACGUGAAACAGAGAAGCGGCUGAAAGGUGAAAGGUGGAGAAAAGGCAAAGAGGAAGAGCUAGAGAGCAAAGGUUGAAGAACGGAAAAGCUCGAAGCUUAGAGAUUGCCGGAUUAUCUCAGGUAAGGCGGGUUUAUCGUCGUUUAAUGGGUAUUAUAGAUUAACAUGUCAUGGGUAGUGAUAAACCGUUGAAGUGACCCUAAUUGGGAUGUUGAAUGCUGAAAUAUUGUGAUGAAUAAGUUGUAUUAAAGCUGUAAUUGAGUCCGUAAUUGUGUGAGUCGUGUUCCCCCGAACGUGUAGCUUUUUACGGAAAUUGAAUCGGAGGUCCGGAAGUCCUCCAACGGCGGAAAAUGCGGAGAACUCUGCAUUCUGCCUUGUGUUAGCGCAGGAACUGCUGUUUUGCCUGCGUUAACCGGUUAACCCAGGGCGUUAACCGGUUAACACUGUUAUAUUUUGUGGAAAUGUGCUGUUUUGCCUGCGUUAACCGGUUAACCCAGGGCGUUAACCGGUUAACACUGUUGCGUUUUGCCAGAAAGUGUGUUUUGUCCUGCGUUAACCGGUUAACCCAGGGCGUUAACCGGUUAACACUGUUGGAAAUUAGAAAAAUUGAUAUUUUUAAUGUUGUGAACCUAAUUGGUGAUUGGCCUAUUAUAGUUAAUUGUGAUGAGUAAUUUUGUUGGAUUUAUGUUAUGAAGUGUUGAUACAAGUAUGUUGCUGAGUUGUUCCGUGUACGGAAAGUUGUUGAAAAUACUGAGUUGUAGGCUUGGUGAGCCAAAGUUGAUUAUAAGUUGAUGUUGUUGAAAACAUUGUUGUAUUGCUAUUAUUAUUAUGUUGUCGACAGUUUAAAGUCGUGUAUGCCAUGUACAUUCAUAUGCAUUAAGUCGGAGCUUUGCUCACACCACGUUGGCCUGGAUUGGCAAAUUUUAAGUUGAAAGUUGAAGGCUUAUGCCUUGAUGCCCACUAAAAUGGCAAUGAUUUUAAGUUGGGAGUUUUACUCCGAAUGGUACCACAUGCAUGACGAGUCGAGUCUCAUUUGAGUUGCAUUUUAUGUUGUUAUUGAGUUGCAUUUUACGUUGUUAUUGAGUAUGAUAUUUGAGUUGAUGUGCCGUUACUGAAUGCAGGAUAUGAUUAGGGUGAUUAACGUGUAAAUUUACUUAGCAUUACAUGAUGAUUUAUAAUGCUUAUUAUAUCGAUUGAGGAACUCACCCUUACAACUAUUUUUCAGGUAACGAGCAGUGAGUGAGUAGAAGCUAGUGCCUGGAGUCUAGUGUAGUCUACGUAGUGGGUCGUGCUCUGAUAGAUGUAACAUCGGGACGGGAUGUUUUAAUUGUUUAUUGUUGAUUGUUGAACCUUUUUACCUGUAAAACGUUAUAUGUUUUGAAUGGUUGGUUGAUUCUAUCCGCUGCGAAUUUUGCAAAAAUGUUGUUUUGAUUAAAUAAAGAGCAUGACAGUUAUUAUGGUGUGAAAUGUUGUGUGACACCCUUGGUGCAUGAUUACUCUGAUAUAUAUAUAUAUAUAUAUAUUUGUUGUUGUUAUUAAAUAUUUGGGGUAUUUUAGAAGGGUGUUACAUUAUCCGACUUGAAGGGUAUUAGUCCGGCCUAUUGUAUGCAUAAGAUCAUGAUGGAAGAAAAUUUCAAACCCGUUGCACAACCUCAAAGGCGCUUAAAUCCAUCAAUGAAAGAAGUGGUUAGGAAAGAAGUUGUCAAACUCUUGGAAGUCAGAAUGAUUUAUCCUAUCUCCGAUAGUGAAUGGGUGAGUCCGGUGCAAGUAGUUCCAAAAAAAGAUGGUAUGACGGUUAUCAAAAAUGAUAAAAAUGAGUUGAUUCCAACUAGAACAGUAACCGGGUGGAGGAUGUGUAUUGACUAUAGGAGGCUAAAUCAAGCUACAAGGAAAGAUCAUUUCCCGCUACCUUUCAUGGACCAAAUGUUGGAAAGGUUGGGCGCCAAAAAUUUCUAUUGUUUCUUGGAUGGUUAUUCGGGUUACAACCAAAUUUUGGUCAAUCCGGCGGAUCAUGAGAAGACGGUUUUUACAUGUCCUUUCGGCAUUUUUGCUUACCUAAGAAUGCCUUUUGGAUUAUGUAAUGCACCGACAACCUUUCAACGGUGUAUGCAAGCAAUAUUCUCGGAUUUGAUCGAAGAAUGCAUUGAAGUGUUUAUGGAUGACUUCUCCGUUUAUGGAUCGUCCUUUGAUUUUUGCUUGAAAAAUCUUGAUGUGGUUUUGGAAAGAUGCGUGGAAACAAACUUAGUGCUAAAUUGGGAGAAAUGCAACUUUAUGGUCACCGAAGGUGUUGUUCUUGGUCACAAAAUCUCUUCCGAAGGGCUAGAAGUUGAUAGAGCAAAGGUGGAAGUCAUUGAAAAAUUACCACCUCCAACAAACAUCAAAGGAAUAAGGAGCUUUCUUGGACAUGCCGGAUUUUAUCGGAGAUUCAUCAAGGAUUUCUCAAAGAUAGCAAAGCCCUUGAGUAAUUUGCUCAACAAAGGUACGCAAUUUCUUUUCGAUGAGUCGUGUCUAAAAGCAUUCCUUGAGUUGAAAGAAAAGUUAGUCACCGCACCCAUAAUCGUUGCACCAAAUUGGACACUUGAUUUUGAACUUAUGUGUGAUGCAAGCGAUUAUGCGGUUGGUGAGGUUUUGGGUCAAAGAAGAAAUAAAAAAUUUCAUGUCAUCCACUAUGCUAGUAAAGCUUUAAAUGAGGCGCAAGUCAAUUAUGCGACAACCGAAAAGGAGUUACUAGCUAUAGUGUAUGCAUUGGAAAAAGUUUAGAGCUUAUUUGAUCGGGUCCAAAGUUGUAGUUUACACCGACCAUUCGGCAAUCAAGUAUUUGCUAACCAAGCCGGAUUCCAAACAAAGAUUAAUUCGUUGGAUUUUGUUAUUACAAGAAUUUGAUUUGGAAAUCCGGGAUAAAAAAGGUUCCGAAAACUUGGUAGCGGAUCAUUUGUCCCGUUUGUUUAAUGUGGAAAUUACAAACAAGGAAGAAGAAGUAAGAGAAGAAUUUAUGGACGAAAAGCUUUAUGCGAUUCAAGUGAGGCCUUGGUUUGCCGAUUUUGCUAAUUAUAAGGCAACCGGUUUGACACCGGAAGACCUCACUAGUAAUCAAAGAAAGAAAUUCUUAGCGGAUGCAAAGUACUAUGUGUGGGAUGAUCCGUAUUUGUUUAAAGUGGGUGUGAACAGUAUUUUAAGAAGGUGUGUGACACUUGAGGAGUCAAAAGACAUCCUUUGGCAUUGUCAUAACUCUCCGUAUGGAGGUCACUAUAGCGAUUUGAGAACAGCCACUAAAGUGCUCCAAGCGGGCUUUUAUUGGCCGUCUUUGUUUAAAGAUGCACAUGAACACGCGAAGAGUUGUGACACAUGUCAACGAAGUGGAGGAAUAGGAAAACGGAAUGAAAUGCCUCUAACCAACAUGUUAGAAGUAGAAGUUUUUGAUUGUUGGGGUAUUUAUUCCGUUGGCCCAUUCCCCUCUUCCUUCUCAAAUGAGUAUAUCCUUGUGGCCGUUGACUAUGUUUCGAAGUGGGUGGAAGCAAUUGCUUCACCUAAGGCCGACGCCAAAACGGUGAUAAAUUUUUUAAAGAAAAACAUAUUCUCACAUUUUGGUGUGCCUCGGAUGUUGAUAAGCGAUGGAGGAUCACACUUUUGCAAUACACCUUUUGAAAUUUUUUUACAACAUUAUGGUGUAAAGCAUAAGGUGACUACUCCCUACCAUCCACAAGCGAAUGGUCAGACGGAAGUUUCUAACCGAGAAGUGAAGAGGAUCCUUGAAAAAACAGUCUCGAGUUCAAGAAAAUGACUACUCCCUACCAUCCACAAGCGAAUGGUCAGACGGAAGUUUCUAACCGAGAAGUGAAGAGGAUCCUUGAAAAAACAGUCUCGAGUUCAAGAAAAGAUUGGUCAUUAAAAUUAGAUGAAGCUUUAUGGGCGUAUCGUACCGCCUACAAAGCUCCUAUUGGACUAACUCAAUUUCAGAUGGUGUAUGGGAAGACUUGUCAUCUCCCGGUGGAAAUGGAGCAUAGAGAACUAUGGGCUCUCAAAUUCUUGAAUUUUGACUCCACUUUAGCUGGAGAGAAAAGAAGGGGACAGCUCCAUGAAUUGGAGGAAUCACGGAACAGUGCUUACCAUUCAAAUAAAUUGUACAAGGAGAAAGUGAAAGCGUACCAUGAUGGAAAGGUCUGUCACAAAGAGUUCAAAGUUGGACAAAUGGUACUUCUUUUCAAUUCAAGAUUGAAGUUAUUUCCCGGUAAGCUAAAGUCCAAGUGGUCGGGACCAUUUGUUGUAAAGGAGGUGCGAAACUAUGGGGCCAUCGUGGUUGAGGAUCCAAAGUCACAGGAGAGCUGGACUGUAAAUGGACAAAAACUAAAAGUCUACCAUAGUGUCAAAGUGAAUCGAGAUGUCUGUGUCAUUUCCCUAGCCAGACCAUGAAGAUCAUUGAACCGUCGAGCUCAAAACGACGUUAAACAAAGCGCUUGUUGUGAGGCAACCCAACGUUGUAAGUUUGCAUUUCAAGUUUUGUCAAUUCAGUUGUUAAUGUAUUCUGUUUUGUUUCUUUUUAUUUGAAAAUUGAGUUCUGUCUACUGCCAACAAUUUUUAAAAUUUCCUUCAGUUCGCCCCGCGAACAGCCUUCGCCUCACGAACUGAAUGGAAAAGUUCAGGUUGGCGCCGCGAACAAAGUUCGCCCAGCGAACUAAGCGUGGCAAAACCUUUUAAGUUCUGUUUUGGUGUUAUUUCUAUUUCAUUUCCAAAUUCACAAUUUCACAAUUCUCUUCAUCACUUUCACUACCCCACUUCCAAAUUCACAAUUAAUCCUCUCCACUUCAAAAAUCCCAAACUUUUUAACAAGAAUCAAGUCAAUCCUCAACAAAGGUAUGUGUAAUCUCUUCCCUUUCCUCUUUGUUCCUCAUUUAGAUGAAAUAGGGUUUUGCUAGAAAUUGAUGUAGUUGAUGAAUUUAGCCUUGCAUGUCUAUAGAGGACUCAAAUUAGGAUUGGGUAAGAGAUUAUGGUUAUGAUUGAGAAACGUUUUUGAGCAGAAGGAACCCUAGAGGCUGCUGUUAUUUUCCUGGUUCGCAAGGUUCGCGCCGUGAACUGGGAAAUUUUAGUUUCAUGAUUUUUGAUUUUGAAUGCUAACUUCUCUUAUGGCUUUUGUGCGGUUGUUUCUGAUUUUUGUUGCAGAUGUCAAAACGUACCAAAACCACAAGCUCCGGUCCUUCUCGAUCCGUGCGAUAAUUCACUAGUGAUGAGCACGAGGAGAGAUUCGAAAAAUUGAUCAAACGGACCAUUCAACCGGAAAGAUUCAUCCGCUUAUCACCGGGUGGAACUUAUAGGAAGCUGGUGUCGAAUUUUGAAAGAAGAAAAUGGAACAAGAUUUGUGAACCAGAGCCAGAGAUAAAUUAUGACAUUGUGCGUGAGUUCUACGCCAAUGCUUUUCAGUUGGAGGAGGGAGUGGCAUUUCACUAUCAGACAAGAGUGAGGGGAAAGAUCAUUUCCUUCAGUAGGGACGCGAUCAACGCGUAUUUGAGUAAUCCUCUAAUUUUGGCGGAGAAUGGACGGUGCGAGUACCGUGCCAAAGAAAUGGCCAACGAUUGGGGCCUUCCUACUGUGAUCUCUCAUCUAUGCCUUGAAGGAAGGACUUAUGAUUUGAAUGAUCAGGGAUUCCCGAAGUCGUGGAAGAGGGAGAGUUUGAACUUGGAAGCAAGGGCCUAUUUGGUGCUUCUAUUGAAUAAUAUUCGGCCAAGGAGCCACAGCACCACCAUUCCAUUGGAUGUCGGAUGCCUAUUAUACUACAUCAUGAUUGGUAAAUCAGUAGAUAUGACAUCCAUCAUUGCGGGGGAAAUACGCAAAGUUGCUACUAUUGGAACGAAGUUCGGUGGGAAAGUUGGUGUUCUAACAUAUCCGGGGCUGAUUAUGGGACUUUGCCGAAGGGCAAAUGUUCCCAUUCCGGAUGAGGUACACUUGUCUAUCACCAGUAUUAUUAAUGAUGCUAAUCUUAACAGGUUUUGCCAGAGCCAGAUGGACAGAGCUGAAGGAGCUGGCACUUCUUCCUCUAGACCCCGAGCCCGCAGUACGCCAUCAUUCGAUCAGAUGGCGUUCGCUACCUACUGCUGUGAGAGCUUUGAGGCCUCUAGGAGGUCUCAAUCAUUCAUUUUUGAUGCUAUGCAGCAGCAAUUUCAGAACACCUUCCUUGCGCCCGAAGCCCGCACUUUUCCUUCCUAGGCGGAGUAUGCUACUUAUGCUAAUUGGCCUGAGGGCAAGCCAGCUUUUAUGGGGGGUGCAGGAGGUGGUGCGACCCAUGAUGAUGAGAUGGAGGAUGUCCUUGGAUCCGUUGGUGGUGAUCAUGAUGAGGAAGAUUGAGGAUUUUUUUUAGUAGUAGUAGAUUUUUAUUUUGAGUUUUUAUUAUUAUGGUUUUUGUUUAAUUACUAUUGUACUUUUGGUGGCUCUAGUUUCACCAUAAACUUUUGUUUGUAUUGCAGUGAAUCAUUUGCGGAGAUUAAUGUGGUGUUAUCAUGAAUUGUGGUAUACCCAUUUGUUGUUUAAUUUUUCUUACUUUAAGUUAAGCUUAAAGCAACCAGAAAUGCUUGCAAAGAAGGAAGCGUAUGACACUUCGAUGGUGAUGAUAAGAAUUAGUGUCGGCAUUUCAAGACAACAUUAUCGCUUUCUAGACUUAACAUGAGUAGUUUGAUGGUGUGUUGCAAUUCCAUAUCAUAAAUUCAUUGAGAUACAUGUCUUUUGAAUCAAAAUAGGACUUAACCAAUUGUGAGGUAGCUUUCCAUUGUACACUAAAUGCGGGAAACCGAACAUUAUUCAAUUCAUUCUUAUCAUGCUAAAUCAUGCAUUAAUCUAUUUUUGUGAAAAUUGUGAGAAUGAUAGAGGCAUUGUUGUUAGUGAGAAAACCACUUGGCAAAAAGUUUUGAAUCAACUAACCUUGUGAGGAGUGAUCCUUAGUUAACCCCUUUGAGCUUUUAGGAUUCAUUUGAUUGAUAAGUGUAAAGUCAAUUGAAAAUUUUGUGAAUAAAUGAAUCCUAACUUCUUUCGUUUCAAUUGAACCCUCAAACUGAGUUUUUGCAAAUUUUGUCUUUCGCCUAUGUCUAAGUAGGGAGCAUUAUUGAAUAAAUUUGGUUUUGAAAUCUAAAGUUGGGGAGAGUAAAUUAGAAGAGUUGAUUAGAAACUUGGAAAAGUGAUGUUUAUAAAAGGGUGAAAGUGUGAAAGAAACAAGAAAAAGAAAUCAUGUUUGAAACUAUAGAGCAAAGAAAAAGAAAAGAAAGAAAAAAACAAAGAAAAACUCAUGGGUGUGGAUGUGAAAAAUAGAAAGAAGAAAGAUGAGGAUAAAGAAACGGAAAUGUUGUUAAGUUGAAUGUAUGGGAAUGCUCCCUUAGGAUAGGCAUUUUGUUGAAUGCUCUUAAUCAUAUCCUUUCUUGUAACCCAAGCCACAUUACAACCUUUGAAAGACCUCUUGAUUCUCAUUUUCACAUGAUUAGUAUUUGCUUUGAUGAUCGCAUGAUUCGAGUUGUUGUUGAUUUAAUUGUUUGGAUGAUGAAGUAACCUUCAUGUUUAUUCAUCAUAUUAUGAUGUGUGUGUAAGUUUGAUUCAAUUUUGACAUGUAUUGCUUUGAAUCUUUGUAUGUUAUUUGCACCCAACCAUUGCUCUUAUUCAUGUUUGUCUAGCAUUGAGAUAGGUGGAUUGAGAAAGUGCCACACUUUUGAACCAUUUGAAUGUCCUUGUUAAUCCUUGUUCAAUAAUUGUUUCAUUGCUUUGGUUGUUUUGGUGAAAACUUUUGUUUAGGGACAAACAAAAUGAUAGUUGGGGAGAGUUGUUAGGGACCAAUUAGUAUACUUUUCAUAUAAUUUUAUUGGUCCCUUUUACCAUUUUCUGAUUUGAAUUACAAACUUUAUCCUCACAAUUUUGUAUAAAUGCAAUUAAGUUUAAGUGAUUAUGUUUUAAGUAGAUAUUUCACGUAUUUGUUAGUUUUGUAGAGUUUUUGGACAAGAGAGCAUUGGAGUGCAUAAGCAUAAUUUGGAUGAAGUUUCAAUGGCAAUUUGGAAGCAUAAUUUGGAAGAAUAACACUUGGGAGAAUUCUUGAAUGAAGCUUGCAAGGCAAGGAAGCUGAAAUUGCUUCAGUCCGCGCCGCGACCAGGGAUGGCACCACGAACCUUGCGAAACCAGCAAGCAUUUUUUUGGGCCAAGUGUUCUGUUUUCAACCCAACUUUAGUGUGACAGUUUUGUAUCAAUUUUAGAGUGCUUUUCAGUUUUAGAUGAAAAUGAACAUUUUAGGAAAGGUUGAACUCUUUAAGAAAACAGAAUGGAAAAAAUAGAAAGAUACACUUUGAUUACAUUAUCGCAGGCUAUGUGUCGAAGGUGCAGAAACUCGUCCAUCUCAUGAAGGGUUGUGGCGUAACCCUAACUGAUAGGAUGAUAGUUGGUAAGUUAAUAUGUAUGUUGACCUUUCACUUUGAUUACAUUAUCGUAGCUAUUCAAGAAUCCAAAAAUGUUGAAACCCUAAAACUGGAAGGUUUGGUUGGUUCGUUGGAGGCGCGUGAGAUUAGGAUUGUCGAAUGAAAUGGAGUUCAAGACUCGAUACAAGCACUAUAGGCUUAGUCAUGGAAGAAGAAUCGUGGUUUCAACAAGUUCAAAGGCAAAAUUGACAAGACUCUGGGCAAGAAGUCUUGGUUAAAUACUCACAAGAAUAAGGUCGGUGAUAGAUCUUAUGAAUCCUCGAAAAGAGAAGAAGGAAAUUCUUGUCAGAAAGACAAAGAAGAAAAAGAAAAAAAGGUGUGCAUUGUUAUAACUGUUAAAAGUGAGGUCACUUGGCCAAGCAUUAUUGGUCCAGAAAAGACAAGGGAUCGACAAAAGGCAAGGAAGAAGGAGCGAACCUUGCACGUCAAGAUUCAGAUGAUUCUGAUGAUAUGGUGGUUAUGCCUACAGUUGUAGAUGACCAUGUCGAAUCCAAGAUCUAGUUCCUUGACUCAGACUGCUCGAAUCAUAUGACUGGUCCAAAAGUAUGGUUAGUAGAUUUUGAAGAGUUGAAGAAGAGCAAGGUUAAACUUAUUGAUAAUAGCUCAUUGCACGCCGAAGGUACUGGUAACAUAGUUAUUUAAAGGAGUAAUUGAGCGAAAGCCUUAAUCAAAGAUGUACUUGGUGUCCCUGGAAUGAAGUGCAAUCUUGUAAGUGUUGGGCAACUGGUUGAAAAGGGGUUCUCAGUGGUUAUGAAAGACGGAGCCUUAGAACUUUUCGACAUCUAGAAUAACUUGGUCUUUAAAUCUCCUUGGCCUAAGAAUAUAACAUUUAAGACCAUGAUCAGUUCGAUUGAGGUACAAUGUCUGAAAACAGUUGUCGAUCACAAAAAUAGUUGGUUGUGGCAUCUGAGGUUUAGUCGUCUGAAUUUUAGGCCGCUCAAUCAACUGAUCACUCAAGAUAUGCUAAUUGGUAUACCAAGUCUUGAGAUUCACAACGAACUCUGUGAAGGUUGUCUAGUUGGAAAGAAAUCCAAGAAGUCUUUCGUUUUGACUAUGCCAAUGAGAUCCUCCUGCAUACUCGAAGUUGUACAUCCAGACGUAUGUGGUCCUUUUGAGGAGCAUAUCAUUGGUGGAAACAAGUAUUUUGUUUUGUUUUUCGAUGAGUUUAUUCGAAGUGGAUCUAUGUGAUCAAGAUAAAGGGCGAAGUAUUUGAAAUCUUUAAAAGAUUCAAGAUGCUUGUCAAAAACCAGAGUGAAAAGAAGAUCAAGGUUCUACGAACAAAUGAAGGUGGUGAAUACACAUCCAAGAUAUUUGAAGCAAUCUCUAAAUAACAUGGUGCUAAUAAUAAGGUAACCGCACCUUGUACUCCUCAACAUAACGGAAUAGCAAAAAGAAGAAAUAAGACCAUAUUGGACAUGGCAAGAUGCAUGCUGAAGCAUAAGAAUUUUCCAAAAUAUUUAUGGGGUGAAGUUGUUUCGACUGUUGUUUAUAUUCUGAACAAGUGUCCUACCAAGAAGCUAUAGAACAAGGUUCCUGAAGAAGCGUGGAGUGGCAAACGACCAUCGGUGAUUCAUCUGAAGGUGUUUGGCUUUAUGUGUUACAAGCAUGUCCCUAAUGCAAGAAGAAGGAAGCUUGAUGACAAGAGUGAACCUAUGACUCUGGUAAGAUAUCAUAAGACUAAAGCAUACAGGUUGUUCAGUCCAAUUAAUUAGAAGAUUAUGAUUAGUCAAGAUAUUGAUUGAUGAAAAUUCUUCUUGGGAUUGGAAUUUUAGUAAUGCAAUUGAUAAGCGAUAUAUGAACUAUGAUUUCGAUGAACCAAGUAAUGAUGUCGAAGUCGAAGAUAUUGUUUAUUUUCCAGUUGAAGUCGAAGUUUUUGCUAACAUUCUCGACACAGUCAAAGUCAGAGACGUCAUGGAUAGCACAAGUCAUAGACCUUAAAGAACUAGAGCUCGCCCAACAAGAUUUCAAGACUAUGAAGUGGUUGGUGAUGAUAAAGUCACAACAGAUGGAGAACUAGUUCAUUUUGCUUUACUUACAGGUGUUAAAUCAAUCAACUAUAGUAGGGAUUUAAAUAAUAUGAAGUGGAAGUUUGAUAUAGGCGAAAAUUUACAAGCAAUCGAGAGAGACAACACAUGGGAAUUGGUCGAAUUGCCAGCAUAUAUAAAAUCUAUCAAAGUUGAAGCACAAUGUUGAUGGGUCAAUAGCAAGACAUAAGGAGAGACUGGUAGCUUGAGGAUUUCUUCUACGAGCAGGACUCGACUACUCUGAAGUCUUUGCACAUGUUGCAAUAUUGGAAACUAUUCUACUAGUGGUAGCCUUGGCAUGUGAACAAGGUUGGUCGACAUUUCACUUAGAUAUGAAAUUGGAACUUUUGCAUGGACCUUUAGAUGAAGGGGUGUAUGUCACAUAACCUCCUGGGUUUGUGAUUCAGGAGGAAGCAAGAAAAGUAUACAAGUUGCACAAAGCGCUUUAUAGUCUCAAGCAGGCACCUAGGGCAUGGAACAAGAAGAUUGACUCAUACUUGGUCGAAUUGAGAUUCGUCAUAUAUAAAUGUGAGUAUGGUGUAUAUGUUCAGGUUAUGGAACAAGAUAUAACAAUCAUCUGCUUAUAUGUUGAUGACUUUCUAAUAAUUGAAAAUAUCUUGAAGAACUUGUCAAAGUUCAAAAAGAUGAUGAAGAAGGAAUUUCAAAUGUCGGAUAUGGGAAAGUUGUCAUACUUCCUAGGCAUGGAAUUUCAAAUGUCGAAGCAAGGUAUGAUGCUACAUCAAAGAAAGCAUGUCAAGGAGAUACUCAAGAGAUUCAGGAUGGAUGAUUCGACUCCUGCAUCUUCGUCUAUCGAACUAAAUUUGAAGUUGCAAAAGCAUGGAGAGGAAGACAAAGUCGAUGCAACUUUGUUCAAACAAAUUUCGGAUCUCUGAGAUAUGUGUGCAACAGUCGAUCUGAUAUAUGUUUUUCAGUCGGAUUAGUGAGAAGAUAUAUGAGUGAACCAAGGGUGUCACGCAUGAAGGUUGCAAGAAGAAUCCUGAGAUACUUAAAAGGAUCGAUAAACUAUGGAAUUUUAUUUCGACGAGACUCUGAAAGCAAAGAAGUUAUGGUUACUUGUUAUUCAGAUGUUGAUUGGUGUGGAGAUAAGAAAGAUCGAAGAAGCACUACUAGAUAUUUCUUUUAAGUAUUUGGUACCUCAAUCUCAUGGUGCUCGAGAAAGCAACUUGUGAUGGAACUAUCAUCGCGUGAGGCUGAAUAUAUAGCAGGAUCAUAUGUUGCAUGUCAAGCAAUUUGGAUCAGAUCUGUGCUGGAAGAGAUCGAGGUCGAAGUGAAGAAUUCUUUGGUACUGCAGAUCGACAACAAGUCAGUCAUAAAUCUUGCAAAGAAUUCAGUUUUGCAUGGAAGAAGUAAGCGCAUAAAAGCUAGAUUUUACUUCUUAAGGGAGAAGGUAAAUCGAGGUGAACUUGAAGUAAGACAUUGCUCAAGUGAAGCACAAUUGACCGACAUUUUCACCAAAGAAUUGAAGAUCGACAGGUUCCUAACGCUUAAAAAGAAAUUUAGGAAUAGUUUAGUGUGUUUCAACAACUUGGAUUAUAAUGAAGUAUGUUGGGAUAUUAGAUAUAAUUCAAGUUGAGUUAUGUGGCCCCAAGUCUGAAGCUAAUUAGGAUUUAUGAUUUAUUAUUUAAUUUGUUAUUUUACUUAGUAUUCAAGUCAUUUAGAUAUAUAUAAAUUGACCCUUUGUAAUUCAUAAUUAACAUUUAAUUUAAUAAUAUAAUUCUUAUUUUUUUAUUCUCUUUUUUUCUCAUCAUUAAAAGUGUCUCAAACACUAACAAGAACAUGAGGUUGUGUUGCUGAAGAUUCUUGUUCAUGAGAUCUAGUUUGGUCGUUUUAGUUUGUGCUUGCUUUUGUGUUUUCUAUCCUCUUUAUUUGGUUUUCUUGUUUUUUUUCUUGUUUUUUUUAGCGAGGCUCUUGGGCACUUCUUUGUGUCGUCAUGUUCCUUUAUAUUUUGACUCUUUAUAACCUUUAUUGUUAUAUUUAUUUGUCCUUAAAAAAUAUAAAAAUUAGAAAUUUUCCUAACUUAUCAAUCGCAAUUCCAAUUUUUUUCAUAAACUCUUUUACACUCAUAAGUGUCAUGCGCUAUUUCAAUCUAAAUUUUAUAUAAAAAUAUAUUUUAUUUGAUUGAUUAUUAAUGUAAUUCAAAGCCAUGCGACUAGGGAUGUGCAAAAAAAAACGAUUAUUCAUAAUCAAAUUUGUAUCUAAAUUGUUUCACUUUUAAAAAUUCAAUCCAAAUGCUAAAAUAUAAAUAUGGGUAUCCAUUUUGUUAUCCAAAUAUAAAUCGGUAAUCAUAAUAAUAAUGUAAUUUAGUUAUUGGGUACCCAAAUUUUAUUAUGUGUUAAAUUGAUAGGUUUGCUUCUUUUCAUUUUUUAUCAUAUAGACAUAUAUACAUUAUAAACUAUUUAUAUUUUAUUAAUUCUUUUAAAUUUCAUAAAAGAAAAAUCAGAAAAAAAUUUAGAAUAAAAAAAUAGUUUUUUUUUUAUUUACGAAAAAAAUAUUAUAUUUUGAAAACAAUUAUAUUCCAAAUACAUACCACCACAAUAUUGUUUAAUAUAAGAUCUAGAAAUAUUGCAGCCGAUAAGCUAUAGGAGUUUCUCGGAGCUUAUUAUCUUCAAUAUAAUUCAUAGGUUUUAUAAUAUAAAUAUUUGUUUCUAAUUGUUGUAUGUUGUUAGUCUACAAGUUAAAUGUAUUAAUAUCAGUUGAGAAUGUGGUUUUCAAAUUAUAUUUUUAACAUUUAAGUCCCAUGGGAAAACUAAUGUUUUUCCCAUGGGAAAACUAAUGUUUUUCAAAGUGAAGAAAUUAAAGUUUUAUAUAAGUUCAUUUAGUUUUUACUUUUUAUAGAAUUUCUUAAAGGUGUCAACGUAUGCAACAUCCGAGAAUACGGUUUCAACACUUCCACUUACAUUAGAGAUUUUUGAAAUUUGAAAAAAAAAUUGACAAAUUAUUUAUUUUAUGAACAAUUAUGAGAGAUUUUAGAAACUUGAACAAUUUUUCUAAUGAACUAUUUAUUUUAUGAACAAUUAUGAUUUAUAGAGAUAUGAUUCGUAAUUAUUUUAUUUUAUGACCAUUUUUAUGUAACACAUCAUAUUUUGAGAUUGUUUUUAAUCGAGAUAUUAUUUGUGGGGAUUAUAAAAGUCAAAUUUAAAAUAAUUUUUUAAAAUAAAUAUUUUUUUUACAUAAAAUAGUUUUUAUAAGUAGUGAAAAUAAAAAAGUUAGUUAAAAGAAAAUAAUUUUUUUUUAUAUAAAAUUGAUUUUUUAAAAAUAUAGUUUUAAAAACUAUUUUUUUUAUAAAAUUGAUUUUGAAAUUGAUUUUUUUAAGAAAAUAAAAAAUUAGUUUUAAAGAAAUUGAUUUAAAACUAUUUUUUUUUUAACUGUUUUUUUUUUUUUGAAAAACCGGUUUAAAACCGAUCCACUUAUAAACCGGUUUUAAAAAAAUAAAUUGAAUUUAUGAAAAUAGUUUUAAGAUCCAAACCGAACCAUAUAUAUGAUUCAAUUUGAUUUGGUUUAUGAUCCAUGCACACCCUUACCUGCGACAAUGCCAUAAUGGAGUAUGUCCUUCUUUUAUUUUUUUUUAUCAAAAUAGAGUGUGGUCGGUGAACCAAAAGACAUACAUCUUUUAGGCCGAAGAAGAAGACUAGUAUAAUAAGAAUAGAGAAAAUAAAUGAUAUACUGAAUUUAUUUUAUAUUAUCAAUCAAUAACGAUGAUGUAUCUCGUCAAAUAAGAUUGAAAAAUUUAAAAUAUUAUAUAAUAUAGCAAAAUAAUAUAUUUGUAUUGAAUGUAUUUGUAUAACUUUCAUUAUUAAACUGAUAUGAAUAAUUGAAAAACAACUGUACUAAUUAAUAAAUUCACCCAAAUGAGCUAAUUAACAAUAAACAGGUCUAUGAUUCAUUUAGAUAAAUUUAAAUCUAUUGUAUUUUGUUUGCAACAACUAACUUUGAGACUAGUUUAUUUUUUUAGAGGGUAGGUGAGUUAUGAUCAUUUCUACCAAACAUUUUAUUUUAAUACAUAAUUCUCAUCACCAAAGUUGGUGGUGGCAUUCAACGAAGGCAUGACUAUUUUUUUGUUUUGUUUAGAAAUUUACAUCACUAUCUUCUUAAUACAAAACUAUAUAUCCUUAAUUGGUAACAUCACUAUUUUAUAAUAAUAUUUUUAGUUUUCUUUUAUUCUAACAGUCAAACUUGUUGGGUGGAAUGUUCAUGUGCACGCUGCACGAAGUUACGUUUUUCAUUCUUCCAUAAAUUUAAUCCAUUUGAAUAUAUGAUACAAUAGAAAAAGUCAAUAAUUAAUAGUAUGUAGUUUGACUUAAUUAACAACCCUUUCAAUAGUUUAAGGAAUUCUGAUUUUUCUACUCAACAAGAGGAUGCCGUUUGAUUUUCUACAAGGGGCUGCUGCAUGCUAUAUGCUUGUCUUUUACACAACAACAUCUACUUUUCCAAUUUUAGAUAGCAACUUUUUUUUAUAAAAGAUAUUAUUAUUGAACUAUCCUAAUAAUUAAACAAUUGAUAUUUUUAAUUUUAAUGUUUUUUGGUACGUGUCAUUAUUGAAUCCGUCUUAGAAUUAUUUUAAUAUUAAAAUAUGGGUAGUAAUAACCAAAAAUAAAAUUAUUGACCAUGCUAUGUUCAUUUAAGUUUUUACUAAUAAUUUUAGAAAAUGAUCACCCUUCAUAGUAAAUUGAAUUCAACUAAAGUGCGGAUUUAGAGAAUGGACAAUUGAUUUCUAAAAAAAAUCGGUGCAUAAUAUUUGAAGACAACAAACUUAAGAAGCUCAUAACUGGAUGAAGAAAUUUAAUUAGAGUUUAGGAUUUAUUAUUUAGUUUGUUAUUUUACUUAGUAAUCAAGUCAUUUAGAUGUAUAUAAAUAGACACUUUGUAUUUCAGUUUUAUUAUUCAUUCAAUUCAAUACAAUCUUUAUUUUUUUAUUCUCUCUUUCUCUUCUCACUAAAAGUGUCUCAAGCACUAAAAAUUGGUAUCUAGAAUUCCAGUUAGAUUCUUGAUCGUGUUUUCGGGAUUGUGGGUUGUUGUUGAUCAAUCACUGCAAAGAUGAAUGGUAACAGAAAUUUAUCAAACUCCCUUCCAACUCUUAACGACAAGAAUUGGCUUCGAUGGAAAAAACAAAUGGAAUCACUAUUUGGCUUUCAUGAAACCCUAAAAGUGGUUAUUAAUGGUGUUCCUGCGGUUGGUGAAGAUUCAACUGACGCACAGAGAAACGCUCACAAGGAUGCCAAGAAAAAGGAUUGCAAUGCGCCAUUUUACAUCCAAUUGCAGUUGAUGCGGAAAACUUCGACAUAAUCGCUCAUGCUAAAUCGGCGAAGGAGGCGUGAGAUAUUCUUGUCUAGUACUAUGAAGGAGGCGAGAAAGACAAGAUUGUCAAGUUGCAAACUUUGCGAUGACAAUAUGAAUUGUUGUCGAUGUAAGAAGACGAAAAGAUUGUAGGUUAUGUUUCGAAGGUGCAGAAACUAAUCUAUCUCAUGAAGGGUUGUGGUGAAACCAUAGCUGAUAAUAUGAUAGUUAAGAAGGUAAUGCGUACGUUGACCUCUCACUUUGAUCAUGUUAUCAUAACUAUUCAAGAAUCUAACAAUCUUGAAACCCUAAAACUGGAAGAUUUGGUUGGUCCGUUGGAGGCGUGUGAGAUUAGGAUUGUCGAAAGGAAAGGAGUUUAAGACUUGAUACAAGCACUACAGGCCCAGUCAUUGAAGAAGAAUGGUGUUUCAAACAAGUUUAAAGGAAAAAUCGAUAAGACUCUGGGCAAAAAGUCUUGGUCGAAUCCUCACAAGAAUAAGGUCGAUGAUAGAGCUUCUAAAUCCUCGAAAAGAGGAGAAGAAAAUUCCUAUCAGAAAGAUAAAAAAGAGAAACAAGGUGUGUAGUGCAUUAAUUUUGAAAAGUUGGGUCACUUGGCCAAGCAUUUUUGGCACAGGAAAGAUAAAGGAUCGAUAAAAGUCAAGGAUGAAGGAGCGAACCUUGCACGUCAAGAUUCAGAUGAUUCUGAUGAUAUGGCGGAUAUGGUUGUAGUUGCAGAUGACCAUGUCGAAUCCAAGAUCUGGUUCCUCGACUCAGGCUGCUCGAAUCACACGACUAGUCGAAAAGUAUGGUUAGUAGAUUUUGACGAGUCGAAGAAGAGCAAAGUCAAACUUGUUGAUAAUAGCUCGUUGCAAGCUAAAGUAUUGGCAACAUAGUUAUUUAAAGGAGUAAUGGAGCGAAAUUCUUGAUCAAAGAUGUACUUUAUGUCCCUGGAAUAAAGUGCAAUUUGUUAAGUGUUAGAUAACUGGUCGAAAAAGGGUCCUUAGUGGUUAUGAAAGAUGGAGCCUUAGAACUUUUCGACAUCCAUAAUAACUUGGUCUUGAAAUAUCCUUUGUCGAAGAAUAGAACAUUUAAGACCAUGAUCAGUUCGAUUGAGGUACAAUCUCUAAAAACAGUUGUCGACCAUAAAAAUAUUUGGUUGUUGCAUCUGUGGUUUGGUCAUCUGAAUUUUAGGUCGCCCAAUCAAUUGAUCACUCAAGAUAUGGUAACUGGUAUACCAAGUCUUGAGAUGCGUAACAAACUCUGUUGAGGUUGUCUAGUCAGAAAGUAGUCCAAGAAGUCUUUCGUUUCGACUAUACCAAUAAGAUCAUCAUGCAUACUCGAAGUUGUACAUUCAGAUGUAUGUGGUCCUUUUGAGAAGCAUACCAUUGGUGGAAACAGGUUUUUUUUUUCAUUUGUCGAUGAGUUUAUUCAAAAUUUAUGGAUCUAUGUGAUCAAGAGAAAGGAUAAAGUAUUCGAAAUCUUUAAGCGAUUCAAAAUGCUUAUCAAAAACCAGAGUGAAAAGAAGAUCAAGGUGUUGCAAACAGAUGGAGGUGGCGAAUACACAUCCAAUAUAUCUGAAGCAUUAUGUUCAGAACAUGGUGUUGAUAAUGAGGUAACUUCUCCUUAUACUUCUCAACAUAAUGGUAUAGAAUAAAGAAGAAACAUGACCAUAUUGGACAUGGCGAGAUGCAUGUCGAAGUAGAAAAAUUUUCCAAAAUCUUUAUAGGGUGAAGUUAUUUUGACUGUUGUUUAUAUACUGAAUAGGUGCCCUACCAAGAACUUGAAGAACAAGGUUCCUAAAGAAGCGUGAAGUGGAAAAAGACCAUCAGUGAGUCAUCUGAAGGUGUUUGGCUCUAUGUGUUACAAGCAUGUUCUUGAUGCAAAAAAAAGGAAGCUUGAUGAAAAUAGUGAACCUAUGAUUCUGGUAGGAUACCAUAUUACUAUAGCAUACAGGUUAUUUAAUCCAAUUAAUCAGAAGAUUACAAUUAGUCGAGAUAUUGUGAUUGAUGAAAAUUCUGCCUGGGAUUGGAAUUCUAGUAAUGCAACUGUCAAGCCAUUGAUGAGCUAUGAUUUUGACGAAGCAAGUAAUGAUGUCGAAGUCGAAGAUAUUAUCAAUAUUCCAGUUGAAGUUGUUGCUGACAUAUCUGAAACAUACAAGGUCAUAGAGGUUAUGGCUAGCACAAGUUAGAGACCUCAAAGAACUAGAGCUCGUCCAACAAGACUUCAAGACUAUGAAGUGGUUGGUAAUGAUGAAGUCACAACAGAUGUAGAACUAGUUCAUUUUGCUUUACUUGCAAGUGUUGAACCAAUCAACUAUAUCGAGGCUUUAAAGAAUAUGAAGUGGAACUCUGAUAUGAUUGAAAAGUUACAAGCAAUCGAAAGAAAUAACACAUGGGAUUUGGUCGAAUUUUCAGCAUAUACAAAAGUUAUCAAAGUGAGGUGGGUGUUCAAAUUGAAGCACAAUAUUAAUGGGUCAAUAGCAAGACAUAAGGCAAGACUGGUAGCUCGAGGAUUUCUUCAACGAGCAGGACUCGACUACUCUAAAGUCUUUGCACCUGUCGCAAGAUUGGAAACUAUUCGACUAAUGGUAGUCUUGGCAUGUGAGCAUGGCCAGUCAAUAUUUCACUUAGAUGUGAAAUUGGAAUUUUUGAAUGGAUCUUAUGAUGAAGAGGUAUAUGUCACAUAACCUCUUGGGUUUGUGAUUCAAGAUGAAGCAAGGAAAGUAUACAAGUUGCACAAAGCGCUUUAUGGUCUCAAGCAGGCACCUAGGGCAUCGAACAAGAAUAUUGACUCAUACUUGGUCGAAUUGAGAUUCGUCAUAUGAAAAUAUGAGUAUGGCGUCUAUGUUCAGGCAGUGGCACAAGAUAUAACAAUCAUCUACUUAUAUGUUGAUGACUUGCUAAUAACUGGAAAUAGCUUGAAGAACUUGUUAAAGUUCAAAGAGCCGAUGAAGAAGGAAUUUGAAAUGUUGGAUCUUGGAAAGUUAUCAUAUUGCCUAGGCAUGGAGUUUCAAAUGUCGAAGAAAGGUAUGGUGUUACGUCAAAGAAAGUAUAUCAAGGAGAUACUCAAGAGAUUCAAGAUGGAUGAUUCGACUCUUGCAUCUUCGCCCAUCGAACCAAAUUUGAAGUUGGAGAAGUAUGGAGAGGAAGACAAAGUCGACACAACUUUGUUCAAACAAAUUGUCGGAUCUCUGAGAUAUGUGUGCAACAGUUCACCUGAUAUAUGUAUCUCAGUCAAAUUAGUGAGCAGAUAUAUGAGUGAGUCAAUGGUGUCACACAUGAAGACUUCAAGAAUAAUCCUGAGAUACUUAAAAGGAUUGACAAACUAUGGAAUUUUAUUUCGAUGAAACUCUAAAAGAAAAGAAGUUAUGGUUACUUGUUAUUCAAAUGUUGAUUGGUAUGGAGAUUAGGAAGAUCUAAGAAGCACUACCGGGUAUUUCUUUCAAGUAUUUGAUGCCCCAAUCUCAUGGUGCUCGAGAAAGUAACCUGUAUUAGCAUUAUCAUCGUGUGAGGCUGAAUAUAUAGCAGAAUUUUAUAUUGCAUGUCAAGUAAUUUGGAUCAUAUAUAUGCUGGAAGAGAUUGAGGUCGAAGUGAAGAAACCUCUAGUACUGCAGAUCGACCACAAGUCACCCAUAAAUCUUGUAAAAAAUCCAGUUUUUCAUGGAAGAAGUAAGCACAUAUAAGCUAAAUUCCACAUCUUAAGGGAGAAGGUGAAUCGAUGUGAACUUGAAGUAAGGCAUUGCUCAAGUGAAGCACAAUUGACCGACAUUUUCAUCAAAAGAUUGAAGAUUGACAAGUUCCUAACAUUGAGAAAGAAAUUAAGAAUAGUUCAAAUCGUCAAUGAUUAGUGUGUUUCGACAACUUGGAUUAUAUGGGGGUAUAUUGAGAUAUUAGAUAUAAUCCAAGUUGAGUUAUGUGGCACAAGCCCGGAGCUAAUUAGGUUUUAGGGUUUGUUACUUAGUUUGUUAUUUUACUUAGUAGUCAAGUCACUUAGGUGUAUAUAAAUAGACACUUUGUGAUUCAGUUUUAUUAUUCCUUCAAUUCAAUAAUACAGUCUUUAUUUUCUUAUUCUCUCUUUCUAUUCUCACUAAAAGUGCCUUAAGAGCUAACAUACAUUAGAUACUUAUUUAAUAAGCAAUUAAUUAUUUAACAAACUAAACAGAAAACUAACUUUAUGACUAAAUUCUUCUUCCUUUUGAAAUAGCCUCCCGCAAGUUAAACUUUGAUAAAUAUUGGCCACAUUCAACUUGGGCAUAAGAAAAUUGAAAAUGACUUGGUGAAAAUGUGUGUUAUAUGAUUAUGAGAAGAAAUAGGAAUCACCUUUAUAGCUCUUGCUUGGAAUUUCUCCCUAACAAUAUGGCAAUAUAUCUCAUGAUGCUUAUUCCUUUAAUGAAAGACUGUAUUUGCAGCUAUAUGAAAUGCACUUUGGCUCACAAUAUAAAAUGAGUGGCUUAGACGAGUCGAAUUGUAAAUUAAGCAACAAAUAUAAGAUCCACUAAGGCUCACAUGCUAAAGCAGACAAAGUUGUAUAUUCAACUUCAUAUGACGGUCUUGACACAAUACUUUCCUUUUUAAUUUCUGUGAAAUGAGAGAAGAACCAAUGGCCUGACAUAGAUCUUCUGGUAUCAAUACACUCUGUCCAACCAGCAUUGAGAAAGCUUGUAAAUGUAUAAUUGAACUUCUAUGGAAUAUUAACACUCAACCACGACAAUGCUUAAAGUACCUUAAAACUCUACAAGCAGCAUUGUAAUGAACAAUGGAAGGAUUGGAAAAAAUUAGUUUAGUUUUGAGUGAUGAAUUUGAUAUAUGGUAUAGUAGUGUUAAGGUACAUAAGUAUGUCAAUGGGUAUUUUAAAUGAUGGUAUUAUUGGACAAGUGACUUCAACACAAAAAAGAUGGCGGAUUGUGUUUGUUUGAAAUACAGUGUUCAAAUAAAAUAUCUUUGAUAAAAUUAGAGUUUAAAAUAAGUUUGUAUAACAAACAAGAAAUAACCAACAGAAUAAAAAAAUCAGAAUGGAAAGAAAUAAAUACAUCAGAAGUAAAUAAAUGACUAAAAUUUAAAGAGAUAAGGUAAGAUAAAACUGCAUUAUAGAUUUAUAGAGGUUCGUGCCUAACCAUUUGAUGUACUCCUCUCUCCACAGACCUCCUUAAAAUAGCCUGGAGUUUUACAUUGGCUAUCCUCCAAAGCAAACAGGAGUUUUAACUAUGGAGACUCCCAACCAAACCCGAUAUUUUAACACCAAUACUAUCUUGAAUCAAACGAGAGAUUUUGACACAAGUCUAAUCUCAAGAACCAAACGAGAGAUUUUAACUCCAAGCUAAGAUCACGAACUAAACGCGAGAUUUUACCAGGUUGAUCUCGAAAACCAAACAUAGAUUUUACCAAGUUCACCUCAACAAUCAAAGAAGAGAUUUUUAAUAUAUUUAGCUCAUAACCAAAAUAACAUUCUCAUAAGAAAAAUAUUAUAACAAUGUCUGACACCGAAUCAAACUACCUCACAAAUAAAAAUUCACUCUCGAAUUGAGCUAUUUGGUGAAAUAAUUGAUGAAUCAAUUAUGGAACAAAUGGGUGAACUUAUGUCGGACUUGUUAUGCAAGUCACUACAAUAUUCCAAAUUCCAAAUUAUGUGAGCCAGGUGGAUUUUGAAUUUGAUAUGGAAAUAUAUGUUGAUGAAAGAUAACAUUCUUAGAUAUAAAAAUUUCUUGUGAAUGAAGGUUUAAUAAGAUUAAACCUUUGAAACCAACAACAUAUCCUAAAAAUAAUGAUUAAUUUGCUUUUCAAACAAGUUUAGUCAUGUGGUUUUGUGAAGUACAAAUAUAACAAGGGGAACUAAAAUCUUUUAUUUGACUCAUUAGGUAGAGAAUCAUUGAGCAUUUUAUAGGGUUAUUUAACAGAAAAAUUAUUGGAACUAGACUUACAAUUUGGUGAAUCAUCGAUUUGAGUACCACCAUUAAUCAUAAGUCUGUAUAAUCCUUCAAUUUGACUAGUCAAACAAAUCUUCUUUUGUGAUUUCGAAUCCUACAAGAGCCAUUUAUUAUUAAAAAGUGAUAAACAAAAUUAAGAGAAUAACAUAGUUUAGGAACUCACAUGAAAUUCAAAGAAAAGAUGAGAUUGUAUAAUACAUAUGUCAAGGAAAGUUUAGGUGAAAGGUAAUCGUGCCAUCCUAUUUAGCUAUAAUAGAAGAAUCAUUGAAAAGACGUACAAUUGUCACACUCUUUAUAAUAAAAAUAUUGACAUUUGCACUAAAGUAAUGGUCUUUGUAUUUGGUUUGCAGUCCAAUUUUAAAACUUGUUUAUUUUUUUAGGGUAGGUGGGUUAGGCUCAUUUCUACCACCAUUCUUAUUUUAUUGAACAAUUUUUAUCAUUAAAGUUGGUGGCGAUGCAUGGGAUAUAAUAUAUACUAGUUAGUUAGUAAGUAAUAAUACACACAUCUUUGACUUUUUUUUGUUUUUUUCAUGAAUUUGUAAGUUGUAUUUCUAUCUUUUUAAUUAUUUGAGAAAAAAACAAUAAUGUUAAGUAACAAACCCCUAAGGGUUGGUUGUAACAAACCCCUAAGGGUUGGUUGUGUUUCUCUUAAAAUUUUAGAUUUGAAUCUUGCUGGAUGUUAAUCAUUCUUAUGUUUGAUCAAUCCAUAUAGAAUUUUGUUCAAACUUUAAAUAGGUCACCGCUAAUGGACGAUGGGAUUGGUUCUUUUGAAUUAGUCAAUUGUAAUGCCAUAUAUCAAUAUUUUUAUUUAAAAAACUAGUAACAUCUCUCUUUCAUAACAAUGAGUGGAUUAUAGAUUUAGAUUGUACUUGGCACAUUAAUCCAAACAAAGAUGUGUUUGAAGAAUUAUGUGAUCAAGAAGGUGGAUCAGUGCUGCUAAAAAAUAAUAAAGCCUACAAGAUUGCAAGGAUUAGAUCUGUGAGAUUCAAGCUUCAUGAUGAAACCAUAAGGUUGUUGACAUAUGUCAGGUAUGUACCUGAUCUAAAGAGAAAUUUUAUUUCUCUGGGUGAAUUCGACAAGAAAUGAUAUAUUUUCAAAGGAGAUCAUGGUAUCUUGAGAAUCAUGAAGGGGCCGAAGGAAGAAUGACUUGUAUUCCCUUGAAGCUGAGGUCAUAAGUAGGUCAGUUGAUAUCGCGUCAUCAAAGCACUUGACAAAGACUGAGUUAUGGAACAUGAGAUUUGGCCAUGUCAAUGAAAAAGGUCUGGUUGAAUUAGAAAAGUAAAAUCUAUUAGGUAGUGACAAGGUCAAAAAGCUGAAGAUUUGUGAACCAUGUGUAUUUGGCAAAGCUUGUGGAGUGAAGUUCAACAAAGGCCAAAAAAGAACAAAUUAAUCUCUUUAUACAUCCAUGCUGAUCUUUGGGGACUUACAAGAAAUCCAUCACACUCGGGUGCAAGUUAUUUUCUAUCCAUAGUUGAUGAUUACUCUAGAAAGUUAUGAAUAUUCAUUUAGAAAACUAAGGAUGAGACUUUUGAGAACUUCAAAAGUUGGAAAACUUUGGUGGAAAUUUAGAAUGGAAGGAAGGUCAAGAGGUUAAGGACAAAUUAUGGCAUUGAGUUUUGAAAUGAUUCAUUUAAAAGUUAGUGUGUUAUGUCUAGGACUACAAGGAACAAAACUGUUACAAGUACACCCCGGAAAAAUGGUCUGGCUGAAAGUUUUAGUCGAACUAUCUUUGAACGGGUGAGGUGCAUGUUGGUUAGUGUUACGUUGAAUAAGGUGUUUUAGGCUUAGGUUGUUGUGACUGCAGCACACCUGAUAAAUAGGUGUCCCUCAACUGCCUUGGGGAUGAAGACAUCUGAGGAAGUCAGGUCAGGUCAUCCACAAAAUCUCGACAGGCUUAGAGCAUUUGGUUGUGUAUCAUAUGCUCACAUUUGACAAGACAAAGUCAAAUCUAGAGUUAUGAGAUGCAUGUUACUUGGGUAUCCUGAGGGAGUCAAAACUUAUAAGUUAUGGUUCCUAGAACCUGGUCACAAGAGGUGCAUCAUUAGUCGUGAUAUAGUUUUCAAUGAAUUUGAGAUGGACUUUAAGAAAAUUGAUUAUGGUGUGGUUAGUUGAAAGAUCUUUGAAUAAGAAGAAAAGAAGGAAGAAGUUCUUGUUGAGGUAAAUCACUUAGGAAAUGAAGUGCACAAUCAUGGGGGAAAUCCAGAUGAAGUUGUUGAAGAAGCACAGGAUACUGAAGAAAAUGAGGAAACUGUUGAUGACUACCUGUUGGCAAGAGACUGGUCAAGAAGACACAUUAAGCCACCUCAAGGGUUUGGUUAUGCAUACCUCAUAGUCUUUGCCUUAAUUUCAGCAAGUGAGGUUUUCGAUGAAAAACCUAGAGAUUACAAAGAAACUAUGAGGAGUUGAAUUAAGAAGAAAUGGUUGAAAGUCAUGGAUGAUGAGAUAAAAUCUCUUCAUGAUAACCACACCUGGAAGCUGGUCAAAAAACCUGUUGGGGCUAGGUUAGUCAGCUGUAAAUGGAUUUUCGAAGUAAAGGAAGGAAUUGAAUGAGUUAUGUUGAAAAGGUUCAAGGCAAUACGGGUUGCAAGGGGCUUCACUCAAAAGGAAGGAGUGGACUUCGAUGAUGUACUAUCUUCUGUUGUGAAGCAUAGAUUCACUAGAAUGCUUUUUGCCAUGGUGUUUAGGUUCGACAUAGAAUUGAAGCAGAUGAGUAUGAAGACUUCCUUCUUAUAUGUUGAUCUCGAUGAAACGAUCUUGAUGAAGCAAACUGAAGGGUAUGAAGAAAAAAGUAAGGAUAUGUGCAAGCUGGACAGGUCACUAUAUGGCCUGAAGCAAUCUCCUAGGCAAUGGAACAGGAGAUUCGGCAAGUUUAUGACACAUAUGGAGCAACUUCGAUCAUUGUGUCUAUUUUAUGUUCUUGCCAGAAAAUUCAUUUGUCAUCUUAUUGCUCUAUGUGGAUGACUUCCUUAUAGCAAGCAACCCCGUCGAAGAAGUAAUGAGGGUGAAGUCUGAACUUAAUUAGGAAUUUAAAAUGAAGGACAUUGGAGUUGCAACCAGGAUUCUAGGUAUCUACAUCAAGAGAGAUAAAAAACUGUCAAAAUUAUGUUUAUCUCAAGAGUCAUAUCUAAGGAAAAUUUUCGACGGGUUUGGUAUGUCAAACUCAAAACUUGUUAUAACGCCAACAACUUAGCAAUUCAAGCUGAGUAUAACUCAAAUUCCUAGUACUGGAGCUGAAAGUGCUUAUAUGAAUAGGAUUUCAUAUGCUAGUAUAGUGGGUUCUUUGAUGUAUGAUGUGGUAUGUAUCAUGUCAUACAUAGCUUAUGCAGUAAGCCUUGUAAGUAGAUACAUGUCUAACCCUGGAAAAGCUCAUUGGCAAGCUUUGAAAUGAAUUCUAAGAUACAUAAAAGGAUCCCUGAGUAAGGUCCUAAUUAAUGGUGGAAUCAGAGGUCGGGUUGACCAAAGGAAAAUCGAAGGAUUUAUGGACUCUAACUAUGUAGGAUUGUAUGGACACCAAAAAAUCUCUUAUGUCUCUUCGGAAAUUAAACGAUUUCUUUUCGAUAGUAUUACUUUAUUCUUAGCAUUGAAUUUCUCAACAAUAUUUAUAUUAAUCCUAGUAAAAAAUCAGUUCCACUAUUUGAAUAAGGUAAAAUAGAAUUAAAUAAAAAAAUGUAUUCUUCCUAAGUCAGAGAAAGAAAAAUGAUUCUAACUGAUGGAAAUAUAGAGACUUAAUACCACGUUAUUAUCAAUUAAGAAUAUAUAGUAUAUGUCCACAAAUUAAUAGACAAAAGAUCGCCAGCAUAUUUCUAAACAAAACAAAAAACAGUCAAAGUUACUAUAUAUAACAUAUACAUGCAUAGUUGGACUAUGUAUGCCGCCACAAACUUUAGUGAUAAGAAUAUUAUUCAAUCAAAUAAAACGAAAUGGUGGUAGACAUGAUCAUAAUCCACCUACCCUCUAAACAACAAAUAGAAUAUUAAUGCUAGUGCCCAUUUUUUUAUCAUAAAGAAUGUAACAUUUUUUAGCUAUAUAUAAAGGUUGCAACCAAGGUUCAGUCCUCAUCAAACAUAAUACCUCAAAUUGAAACAACCUUAACUUGAACCUUCUCAACCAACAAAAACAACAACAUGGGCAGUGUUGAAAUUCCGACAAAGGUUCUUACCAACACAUCUGCUCAAAUUAAGAUGCCUGUGGUUGGAAUGGGAUCAGCACCUGACUUCACAUGCAAGAAAGACACCAAAGAAGCAAUCAUUGAAGCCAUCAAACAAGGUUACAGACACUUUGAUACUGCUGCUGCUUAUGGCUCCGAACAAGCUCUCGGUGAAGCUUUGAAUGAGGCUAUUCAACUUGGUCUUGUCACUAGAGAACAGCUUUUUGUUACUUCUAAACUUUGGGUUACUGAAAAUCAUCCUCACCUUGUUCUUCCUGCUCUACAAAAAUCUCUCAAGUAAGUAAACUAGAAUUAGUCACUUUUGUUAUCUCUAUCGUGAAAGAGACUUAUUGGAUUUGUUGAUUAUUUUGUGCAGGACUCUUCAGUUGGAUUACUUGGAUUUGUAUUUGAUUCAUUGGCCACUUAGUUCUCAGCCUGGAAAGUUUUCAUUUCCAAUUGAUGUGGCUGAUCUAUUGCCAUUUGAUGUAAAAGGUGUGUGGGAAUCCAUGGAAGAAGCUUUGAGACUUGGACUCACGAAAGCUAUUGGUGUCAGUAACUUCUCUGUCAAGAAACUUCAAAAGCUACUAUCUGUUGCCACUGUUCUUCCUGCUGUUAAUCAAGUAAGUCAUUAACCAAACAUCAAUUUAGAUUAAAACUUUGAUUGAUUAUCAAUAUUAUUUAUAUAAUGUACUUGUGUAUGUAUGUAUAGGUAGAGAUGAACCUUGCAUGGCAACAAAAGAAGCUGAGAGAAUUUUGCAAUGAAAAUGGAAUAGUGUUAACUGCAUUUUCACCGUUGAGGAAAGGUGCAAGCCGAGGAGCAAAUGAGGUUAUGGAGAAUGAUAUGCUUAAAGAGAUUGCAGAUGCUCAUGGAAAGUCUGUUGCACAAAUUUCUCUGAGAUGGUUAUAUGAACAAGGAAUCACUUUUGUUCCAAAGAGCUAUGAUAAGGAGAGAAUGAGUCAAAAUUUGAGAAUCUUUGAUUGGACACUGACAAAGGAGGAUCAUGAGAAAAUUGAUCAAAUUAAGCAGAAUCGUUUGAUCCCUGGACCAACCAAGCCAAGUCUCAAUGAUCUUUGGGAUGAUGAAAUAUAAAAGAAAAGUUGCUAAAGUUAUUCAACUUUGCUUUGGCAUCUAUCUUUUCUGUUUAUUUUAUACUACUUGUUUCUUUUGAGCUUUGAAUUACCAAUGUUUUUGUAUUGGGUUUAAAUGAUCAAUUUUAAAUUUAAUAAUUUUCUCCAACAUAUCUUAUAAUAGUGUUUUACUUUACUGUCAUGAAAAUUGUAAUUUUUUUUAUCAAAAAAAAUUGUAUUGACUUGAUUAUACAAUUCAAUUAUAGGAUGUGUGUCCAACAAGUAAUAAUAUUAUACUAAGAAGUUGAAAGAGUGGUAUACAACUAAUAUCAAAACUUAAGAAUGCAUAAUCACCACAUUAUAACCCAACAAGCAGAAUGGUAGUUUGCAUUAUAUUUAAGAAAUUUAUGUUCAUGAUAGUGUGAAUGAGAAAUCAAUGAAAUUGUCCCAUGUAGAAAUGAGCAGUGCUAUAAACACUAAUUUGUUGAAUCCAUUUUUAAAAUGUUCAAUCUAAAUCAUAAUGGGCAACAAGAGUCAUGAUUGUCCUAAAAUAAUCUUUCGAUGAAACCGGCGAGAAAGUAUCUUUAAAGCCAAUCUCUUCCUUUUGAGUAUAAUCCUUAACAACAAGAUGGGUUUUAUACAUUUCCACAUUAUCGUUAAAAUCCUGCUUGGUCUUAAAAAUUCAUUUGCAACCAAUUGGUUUCACACCUUAUGGUAACAGGACAAGUUCCCAAACUUUAUUGUCUUGCAUGGACUUAUACCCCUCCUUCAUUGCUUCAAUUCACUUUUCCAAGUUGUAAUCUUGCAUGGAUUGAGGAAAGUUGAUUGGAUCAUCUUCCAUCAUACCAUUAUUUUCCUCAUGUUCUUGGAGAAAGAAUAUGUAAUCAUCCGGAAUAGCAUUUCUCCUUUCUCUAGUGGAUCUCCGCAAAGGUAUUGGUUCUUGUAACACUGGUUCUUGAGAAUCUUGAGUUUGUUCUUCAUGAAUUACUAAAUCAUCUUGAGUUUGAGGAAUUUCAACAAUUUCUUGUUGAGGUGUCGUUCUUACUUGAUCAAAAGCAACUAUUUGAAUUGGUUCUGGAAUUGUUAUAGAUUUUUCCUCUAAGACAAAGUCUCUAACCUUAUUAUUCCCCCCAAACUCAAUAUCCUCAAAAAAUAUGGUUGUUCCCGUCUCCAAAAUUGAAUUGAAUUUGGGAUCGUAAAAUUUGUAGCCCCUAGAUCUUUCAGAAUAGUCAAUAAAGUAGUUGCUUAUUGUUCGGGAGUCCAAUUUAUUUUCAUUUGGCAUGUAAGGUCUUAACUCAACUAGACAUCCCCACACAUGAAAAAAAAUUAGACUAGGCUUUCUCCUAGUCUAAAGCUCGUAAGGUGUUAUGGCAGUUGCCUUUAUUGGUACUCUAUUUAGGAUGUAAGUUGCAGUCUUUCUCCCCAGAGUGACUCCGGCAAGGUAGAAUGACAAAUCACACUCCUUACCAUAUUCUUAAGAGUCCGAUUUCGUUUUUCAGCAACACCAUUCAUAUUAUGAGAUCAUGGCAUGGUGUAUUGUGGGACGAUUCCACAUUCCUCCAGAUAUUUGGAAAAAGACUUUGGACGCUGUCCACCUGAACCGUCAUAUAUGUCGUAAUAUUCACCGUCACUGUCAGACUUGAUUUUCUUAAGUCUUUUGUUGAGUUGAUUCUCAACUUCAACCUUAAACGAUUUGAACACAUCCAAUGAUUGUGACUUUUCAUGUAUAAUAAAUAUGUGCGCAUAUCUAGAAUAGUCGUCUAUGGAUGAUAUAAAAUAUUGUUGCCCAUUCCAAGAAGGUGUGAUAAAUGAUCCACAAAUGUUUGUAUGUAUUAAUUUUAAGACAUCUAUAGCUCUAUAUGCAACAUAUGUCUUUGUUUUGGUUUGUUUACCUUUAACGCACUCAACACAAACAUCAAAGUUUGUGAAUUCAAUGGAAUCCAAAAUUCCAUCGGACACUGGUCGCUCAACUCUAUUUUAAGAGAUGUGAACAUAUGCACUUGUGUCAUAGUGCUCCUGAAUUGUUAUCAUCAAUUUUACGCUUAGUACCACGUGAUUCCACAAUUAAGGAUUUGCCAUAUGUAGCUAUUAUGUCAAGCAAAUAUAGAUUAUUAUGACCCGUAAGUGAUCAGUUACAACAAUAUCUGAAGUGAAAUACAACUUGAACAUAUUGUUUCCAAAUGAACAAAAGUAACUUGAUUUUUCCAAAUAAGAAACUGAAAUUAAGUUUCGUCUGAAUGACGGAACCACAAAAGUGUUUUUCAAAUCCAAAUAAAAUCUGAUACACAUCAAUAAAAUAAAAUUCCUUACAGCUUCCACCUCUACCGAAUUGCCAUCUCCCACAUAGAUUUAUCUUUCAACAUCAUUUGGAUUCCGGUAGUUCAGGUAACCCUUCAUUGAAACAUUGAUGUUAGUAGUUGCUCCAGAGUCUAACCACCAAGUGUUUCCAGGUUCCUGAAGCUAAAUUGACCUCAGAACAAACCAAACCAUGACUUAUGCGAUUGGAGCGAUCCCGCUUCUCAUAAUUUUUCCUCUGUUUAGAGGUACUAGAUUCCGUAGGAGAAGAUGGUUUCUUCAUCCUUAAUGCAAGGUCAAGAUCCAUGUAGCCAGGAACAAUUUUUAUGUUUUCAUGCCAAUCCUUAAAAUUUAUCCCAUUAAGGACCGGAACCUUAUUCAUAUUAGCAUAUAUUAAAGCAAUUGUAGUUGAAAAAUAGAACAUAAUAAAUACUAUAAUAUACUUAUACAAAAAAAAAACCGAAUUAUAAAUUUGUUCAAAUAAAGACAUAACCCAUCUUAAGAUACCUAGUACAACAUCACUAUUGAGUCUUUGGACACUAAUAUUAACUGAUAGUGGUACUCUUGUUGUAACGAUUAAACAUUGAUAAUAAAAAAAUGUCAGAUAAUAAACCCCUCUUUGGAUUGAUUUAUUAUUCGCAUGUGAAACCUUAUAAUUAUAACAUGUUUACCAUCACAGACGCGUAUGAAAACUGACCAACCACCAACUGUCCUUUGGGUCAAUUGAUACUCGCAUGGAUAAGCAUACACAGCCAGAAAAAUAUUUAACAUUUUUCAUAAGUAAUUUCCACAAAAGAGAUCACUUUGGCGAUUUUUCAUUUCAACAACUCACUUAAAAGAUUAAACUUUGUAUAAAUUUAAAAACCAUAGCCAAAACUUGAACAAAAUUAUACAAAAAUUAAUGGAUGAAAUAACUAAGGGGCAUGAUCAUACAAACAAAAACGACAUGCCUGUGUUCCAAUCAGUGCUCUCUUUAUUAUGCGAAGCACAACAAAACAAUAACAAGUAAUAUAUUAUAUAUUAAUACUGAUAAUAAAAACAAAUUUAACAAAAUUAUUUAUUUAUUAUCAAAAUAACUUGUUUUAAUAAAUAAAUAAAAUUAAACAUAAACUUUAAAACAUGUGUGGCUCUAAAUUGUGUGUGACGUGUAUUAAGAAGGUUGUCAAUGCAAGGUAUGCAUUAACAGAACCUUAUUUUAAACAUUAUCGUGAAGACAUCACAUUAUCAAACGCAUAUGCAGUAAGGUGGAUCAAUAAUAUUCCAUUGGAAAAGUGGACUAGGGCAUGCGACAACGGUCAACGAUGGGGUCACAUGACAACAAAUCUUGUGGAAUCAAUGAACUUUGUCUUCAAAGGCAUCUGAAACCUACUUAUAACCGCUCUAGUGUAAGCAACUUAUUUUAGGCUAGGGACGCUGUUUUAGAUCAGACGUUCCAAAUGAAGUUUAGUGUUACAAUUUGGGCAGUUGUUCAGUGAUGCUUCAAUGAAAUUUAUUAAAGAGGAAGUUGUCAAAGCUAACACACAUGUGGUCAUGGUGUUUGACCGUACUAAAGGUUGAUACAGUGUUACUGGGUCAAUGGAUCACAAUGAAGGCAUGUCGAGGGAACACUAUCAAGUGGAACUAGAUAAAAGGUGGUGCGAUUGCGGAAAGUUUCAAGCAUUUUGUAUGUCAUGCUCCCAUCUCAUAGCGGCAUGUUCAAAGGUUCGACGGGAUCCUUCUAACUUAUUAUGUGACAUUUACAAAGUCAUAAUCAUUUGUAAUGUUUACAAAAUUAGCUUUUAGGUGGUAGCAAAGGAGGAUUACUGGUCUGCAUAUCAAGGGGACACUCUCUGACACAAAAAAAUAAUGUGAAGAAAGAAAAAGGGUCGCCCAAACAACACCCGUAUUCGAACCGAAAUGGAUACGACAAACAAAAUGGUUAGAUUGUGUAGUUCAUGUCGUCAUCCUGGUCAUAAGCACAACAAGAUAAUUUUAAUUGUAACUCUUUUACUUUAUAUUAAAAACAACAUUCAUUUCAUAUGACAAGUAGAACAAAUAUAAUGAUUAAACAACAACACAAGAAACUAAAACCAAUAAAAUAACGUCACAAAUAAAUACAACACAUAAACAAUAUAACUAUACGGUUACAACCAUCAAAACAAUUUUGUGAGAAGUAUACAUCAUCAUGUGAACGUCUCUGUCAGUUUUAAUAUUGACACAGAAACGAACUUCUCCAGUUUGGUUGAACGUCGUAUAAAGUCAUUGAAUUCUUCUGAUCCUUUCACCAUCUGCAAUGUCUUCAUCUAACCAACGGUUUAAGUACCUGUUAAGAUGUUCGAACUUAUCUACAUUCCAAAGUCGAAUCUUGAUCGGAGACUGCACUACUGAAAAGAUUAAAUCGCCACUUCUCUUGUGAAGACAUUUUAAAGAAUAUCAAAGGAGAUUGAAGAAAAAUGGAAUGAGAGAAUAAGAAGUUGUGUGAAAAAUUAUGGGAGUGUGAUGUUGUGUAUUUAUAGAUGCAGUGGUGGAGCAGUAGCCACAUGCAUUGGCGUACACGUAGAGUGGACUAUGCAUGCGCCAUUGUGUGUGGCACCUACACAUGCAUGCGCCACGGAUGUGUCAAUGCAUAUGGCGUCAAUGACUAAUAUUUUCAUUGGGUGCACCAAUGCAACUGGCACCUAGGUUAGAUGUUUUUUUGAAAGAUGAUUAUUUCGGUAAAUACUUUAAAAAAAUGGUUAUUUAAAAAUUUUAUUAAAAAAAUAGAUUAUUUAAAUAUAAAAAAAUCACCUCAAAUUAAUAAUACAAAUUAGAUUAUCAUGCACAACUUCUGACUUUUUUUCAAAAUUUAAAAAAAAAUAACUUAUUUAAUUAACAUAAUAAUUUUUAAGAAAUUAAAUAUGACCGUUUAUUAAUUAAGAAUUAAAGUGAGGGAAAUCCUCAAACCUUAAUUUAAUCUUUGAUUUGAACUCCAAUAUCUUAAGCCUUAUUCUUGAAUUUCUCAUUCCAAUUAAAUUAUUUAUAAGAUUAAACGAAUCAUCAAGAUAAGAAAAUGAUUCAUUUUUAAAUUGAUGUUAUAAUGAUAAUACGAUAUUUAUUAAUACUUUACAUACACUUUAAUAUAUUUCAGAAUAUUUAAAUUGUUCAUGAAUUGAUAAUUUUUUUUGUGUGAAUAUCAUAUUAUUUUUAUUUUUUUAGCAUGAAAGCUAAAGAAGUAAAAAGAAAAAUAUCCAAUUGUUUUUGUUGGUAGUAGCACCGGUUUGACAAGAAUUUGUUCGAUCCGGGUUUGCGUAUGCUCAUUGCUCAACUUGUUCCAAUUUGGAUUUUGGUGACAAACUUUAAUUCCCUGUCACCCACAAAAUAACACAAUAGCAGCCCCUUGCUCUGUAGAAAGGUCGUAACAUAAUUUCUCAAAUUCUUACUUUCUUUUUAGUAUUAAGAAACUCUCAAAUUUAUUUAUGGAAGAAUUACGUAAAAACCUAAGUUCGUGCCAUUAACUUGCCACCCUACAAGUCACUCUUAGAAAGAAUUUUAUAAAUAAAUAAACUUUUAUUAUUAUUAUAAAAUCUAGAUGGCUACCAAUAGUCAAUAAGAUAGCGAUGCAACAUGCAAAUUUCUAUACAAAAUGAAACAAACAAAAAAGGAGUCAAACAUGUAAUGUAUUAAUUAUAUACAUGCCACCACAAACUUUACUCAUUACAAUAUUAUUCAAUUAAAUCAAAUCAAGUGGUAGAAAUUAUCAUAAUCCACCUACCCUCUAAACAACAAAUAGAAUAGAAUAAUGCUACUCACCAUUUUUUAGCUAUAUAUAAUAGUUUCUAGCAUCAAACAUAAUACCUCAAAUUGAAACAACCUUACCUUAAACCUUCUCAACCCAACAACAACAACAAAAACAACAACAUGGGCAGUGUUGAAAUUCCAACAAAGGUUCUUACCAACACAUCUGCUCAAAUUAAGAUGCCUGUGGUUGGAAUGGGAUCAGCACCUGACUUCACAUGCAAGAAAGACACUAAAGAAGCAAUCAUCGAAGCCAUCAAACAAGGUUACAGACACUUUGAUACUGCUGCUGCUUAUGGCUCCGAACAAGCUCUUGGUGAAGCUUUG